GGUGGCGAGUUCAGAAAGGUCGCCUCAAUCAAACUCGUGGUCUGCAAGGAUUUCGCAGUGCAAGUUGUGAUGACCUGUUAGAUAAUCAUCUGGGCAAAUGCUCAGGCUGGCAUCGGAGCAGGCAAAUCCAGACGCCACCUUUUGU
This 145-nucleotide non-coding RNA is filed under the name Scrippsiella hangoei. Lineage: Eukaryota; Dinophyceae; Peridiniales; Peridiniaceae. The record is from RNAcentral.